This 5324-nucleotide long non-coding RNA is filed under the name Prunus persica (peach). RNAcentral describes it as "long non-coding RNA (PPER_LNC007443)". Lineage: Eukaryota; Viridiplantae; Streptophyta; Magnoliopsida; Rosales; Rosaceae. The record is from RNAcentral.
ACCUUUGAGGACAUUAACCUCAAAUGGCUCUACGUGGUCCAAACAUUCCCGACCGGCCAGGUAACACGUCGCUUCGAGCUAACCUUCCACAAGAAACACAAAGACAAAGUCCUGACCUCCUACUUGCGCCAUGUGGUCACUCGGGCUGAAGCCAUUAAAAAAGAGGAAAAGAUUCUCAAACUUCGUAGCGUUAACUCACCAUCACGAGUGGAUCUGGAGCACCCAGCCACGUUCGAGACGAUCGCCAUGGAGCCCGACCAGAAGACAAAGAUUAUCAAGGACUUGGACAGAUUUGUGAGAAGGAGGGAGUUUUAUAAGAAGGUGGGGAAGGCCUGGAAAAGAGGCUACUUGUUGUAUGGCCCUCCUGGCACUGGCAAGUCGAGCUUGAUUGCAGCCAUGGCUAAUCAUCUCAAGUUUGACGUGUAUGAAUUGGAGCUCGACGGUAUUUGCAGUGACUCUCAGUUGAAGAGAGUGUUGCUAUCCACUAAAAAUCGUUCUAUUUUGGUGAUUGAGGAUAUUGAUUGCACCGUCCGUGACAUGCAAGACCGGAAAUCGGAGCAGCCCACGGUUAGUACAUACUCUUUUUUUAUAUGUAGAUUUUUUUGGGGCAUUCACAUAGUGUUCUGUUGAUAUUUGCAGUUCACACUCUCAGGCCUGCUAAACUUCAUGGAUGGUCUGUGGUCAAGCUGCGGUGACGAGAGAAUUAUUGUGUUCACAACAAAUCACAAGGAUCGGCUUGAGCCUGCACUGUUGCGUCCUGGUCGAAUGGACGUCCACAUUCACAUGUCGUAUUGCACUCCACAUGCGUUUAGGGUCUUGGCCUCCAACUACCUUGGCAUUCAAGACUUGAAUCAUCAUGGCCUUUACGGAGAAAUCACAGGCUUGCUAGAGAGCACAGAGGUCACCCCUGCUGAGGUCUGUGAGCAACUGUUGAAGAGAGAUGAUGAUGUUGACGACGAUGAUGCUGAUGCUGCUCUUGCUGGACUUGUCAACUUUCUCAAACUCAAGAAGCUUGAAGAGACUAAUAAUAUUGAUAAACCAGAAACUCAAGAAGGAUCUCAAUGUUAAUGAUGAUGACGGUGACAACUCCUCCACCUAGCAUGAGCUAGGGCAGUAGAAUAAGUUGGUGUCAUUUGUCCCAUCUGAUUAUGAAGUAAUGUAUGGUUAUAUUCAGACUCUUCCCUUUUUUUUCUUUCUUAAUUAUAGCGUACCUACCAAAGUAGAGAAAUUAUGUGGAAAAAGACCUGCAAACAGAGACCUUGACUUUUGGUCAACAAGGAAGGCAAAGAGAAGCGACCACCAGCAUUUGAUGGAAAUUUCUGUUCUUAUACGACUUCUAACAAGUCUCGUUGACUUAGGGUCCCUUUUUGGGGUUGACACGUAAUUGUGACCAUAAGGAAAAUUCUACCAUGUUGCAUUUUCUGAAACGAAAUCCAUACCAAAUGAUCUUUCUGAACCUCUUAACUAUACCUCUGCAGAAGUCUUGGCAAUCUUGCUCUGAUCAAACAUGAUCCAAUGGUGUGCAGAGAAAAUUACAAAAGUGACAAACGUAAUAAGUUUCACUUCCCCCUGGCUCAAUUCUACUUUUUUCUUACAUCCUUAAUCAACCAAUGCAAAUAUAUUCCAUUCCUUAUCAGUUGUCCCAUUAAUAUAUUUAUGAAAUACCAUAUCAGUUUGCAAACAUUUUUAGAUUUGGUUGAGCUUGAGACAUGGUUGUUCAAGGGAAUAAGGGGAUUGAGAAUUGUUGAUUUUCAAGUAGGAGUUGGAGACGGUGUUGUUCAACCUCACAACUUAAUAAGCAUAUAUACUUCCACAAUCAACGCCACCUCACUCGAUCAACACUUGAUUUCGUUGAAUUAAACUAAUUUCUCUUGUAUUAAGAUACCAAGUUGACAACUCCUAAAUUAUCUUCUAAGUUUAUUGCCCUGCUAGCACUUGGUAUCGAUUCGAAGUUGCUAGGCUAGUUUAUUUUCCUAAAAUCGGUUCAUCAGUCUGUCAAUUCCUCACUUACUUUCUAUGUAAGUUAUUGUUUAUAAUUAAUUGAAUCGAGAAAUCUUCUGUUUAUUUGUGAAUUUUUAUUUUUAGAAAAAUUCCAUGUAUGAGGUUAAGUGCAUCUCUUAAUUAGAACAUCUAUAGUGGGGUGAUGUAUAAUAGGAUGUAUGUUAAAUAUACACCCGUUAUGAUCGGAAUUACUCGUAAUAAGGGUGUAAAUAAAUGUAUAAUUACAUCACCACCAUGAGAUGUAAAUUUAGAUGCAAUUGUACAUAUUUUUUUACAUUCCCAUUGCGGAUGGAACCCAACUGAAAAAAAAAGAGGAAAAAUAGAGAAAAGUCAGAAUAAAAAGGUGGGACCCAGCUAACAACAAUGGUGCAUGCAACGGUAUGGCUCGAUUUUGUCCUCAUCCCAUUUCUUCCUUUUUUUAAUUCAACUUGUUUCCACGGUCUCUCCCAUCUCUCUACUUUUGAUAUUUAUUUAUAAUUUCAUAUAUAUAUAUAUAUAUAUAAUUAAAUUAAUAAUUUACUUACUUUCCAACCUUAAGACGGAGACUCGGUAUAGAGAAAUUAUUGUAUGAUAUCGUAUCAUCACUUCAAUUGAUGAUACUUCCGUUUAUCUUUCAUAGAAGAUUAUAACCUUUUUUUUAAAGCAUAAUUAAAAACAUCAAUUUCACCUUUUUGAAUAAACUUUUUUAAAAAGCUUUAAUUGUUUUAGAAAAUGACAUAUUGCACAUUUUUAGAUUAAAUGUACUUUACAAUCCAACGAUUCUUUUUUAAUGAAAUUAUAUUUUCUCCAAAUUCAAAUAUUUUUAGGUCUAUUUGUUUGAAAAAAUAAAAUUAACCUAAUACAAAAAAAAAAUUAAUUUUAUAAAGUAAACACAAAAUAUAAAUUUAACACAAAAACAAAUUAAGACAAACAAAUCAAUUAUACAUCUUUAGAUUUACUUCGUUUUUUAUUGGAGAAAAAAACGUAUUUACACUUCCCGAAUGUGUAAAGGAGAUAUAAAAGUGUCUUUACACCCCCGAAAAUACACCUCCUACUGUAGAAGCUCUUAGGUAUUUGAUAAUUUUUUGAUUUUGUGUUAUGUUGACAUUUGCAGUUCACACUCUCGGGCCUACUAAACUUCAUGGAUGGUCUGUGGUCAAGUUGCGGUGAUGAAAGAAUUAUUGUGUUCACAACAAACCACAAGGAUGACGAUGAUGAUGCUGCUCUUGUAAGAGUUGUCAAGGUCACCCCUGCUGAGAUUUGUGAGGAAGUACUGAAGAAAAAUGACGAGGACGAGGACGACGAUGAUGAUGCUGCUCUCGAAAGAGUUGUCGACCUUCUCAAACUUGAGAAGCUUGAAGGGACUAAUAAUAUUGAAAAGACAGAAAUGCAAGCAGAAAAAAGGCAGGAAAAUGGAUCUCAGGUGAAUGAUGAAAGUGACAACUCAUGCAUCCAACAUGAGCUAUAGCGAUCCCCUUUUAGAUAAGUCUUUUUGUUAUUAGUACUUUUGUAGGAAAAGAAAUCUGGAUGUCAAGUACUCUAAUCCCAGUUUUGUUUGGUGUCCUGUCAGGUGUUGUCCUAUUAUCCUAUCUGAUUAUGAUGUAAUCACUUUGGUUAUAUCGAUAAAUAAAGUAAGUAAUGGUAUGGUUAGUUCAAAUUCUAUUCAAACUCUAAUAUUAUUUUCUUUCACGAAUGUGCGCUAGCAACAUAUAUACAUAAGGUGGUGUGGUGUUUUUGUUGUUAAGAGGUAGAAAGAAAAUUUACUCGCACACACACAAGUGCCUAGAAAUUUCGAAUAUGAGAUGAUUGGUCUUAAGUCAAACAUACUUUUUCACUACGGUAUGAUCCUAUUAGCUUCAUACUCUCUUGUUUCACUCUAGAGUGCAAGUGGCUACUUUUGAAAUGAAAUAAUUAACAACAGUUACUUUCUUAAUUAUAUCAUAGUUUACUUACCAAAGUGGAGAAGAUUUAUAUUUUUUGUUGUACUUCUUCAUAGGUUUUGAAUUUUGAUGCAACCAGAAGCUUUUUGUGUGUGUUGUUGCAUGUGAAUGGCGGGAAAAGAAUGGCAACUGUGUGAAAUUGAUCAAGUUAAGAUCAAUCCGGUAUGAUUGAAAACAUCAAAGCCAUCAAAUUAGUCAUGGUCUGCUCUAGGUUUCUUUAUUCAUUUUGGCCUCAAAUAUUAAAUACAUGUGUUUAAAAAGCAAUAACAAUCUAAUCAAAUAACUCACCCAACCCAACUCCUACGUUCAACGUAUAGUCCUAACACAAUCAAAUGUUUUAUUGAAUAUUUAUCCAGAGACUUACCUAUAAACUAGGUCACCUAGCACACUAAAAAAAAAAACCACGUACAGUAAAAAAAAGAUAUCUAGCAUAAGGAGAAAUUCGACCAAAACAAAAAAAAAUAGCAUAAGGAGAAAAAAGAGGGACUAUUGUCAACUAAACGACAAUAACCUACACAAAACACAAUGCACGCGGUUUUGACUGGUGGUGUACAAGUAGACUUCUUUGUCGAUCUUGCCAUGUGCAAUUGUCUGUGGCUGUGGUUUCACUAGUACUGUAUAUGAAUUUACCCCCCAAGUAACAAACCUCAAAUAUAUAUCCCCAAAUUUGAUUAAAAAAUCCCCCAACAAGAACAUCUCCUUCUUCUUCUUCUUCUUCUUCUUCUUCUUCUCAACCUCUGCCUUGCUUACCUUGCAUCCAUCCAUCCGCCAUGAAUUUCAUCGUGGAGGAACUCAUGCUUUUCAUUUCCACUGCCCUCAAUUACCUUGCUACCCUUUUCUCCCCUGGCCAUUAUCAUCAUGACCUCACUUUCAUCAUCCGCCAGAAGAGCACGCCACCCAACCAAGUCUACGACGCCGCCGAGCUCUACCUCCCAUCCAUCGAGUUGAUCAAUCCCUCCACUCGUACUAUCGGCGUCAGCAAAACACCGCGGCAAGAAGCCGUCAAGCUUGCCAUGGAAAGCGGUGAGCAGAUCGCCGACACCUUUGAGGACAUUAACCUCAACUGGCUCUACGUGGUCCAAACAUUCCCGAGCGGCCAGGUAACACGUCGCUUCGAGCUAACCUUCCACAAGAAACACAAAGACAAAGUCCUGACCUCCUACUUGCGCCAUGUGGUUACUCGGGCUGAAGCCAUUAAAAAAGAGGAAAAGAUUCUCAAACUUCGUAGCGUUAACUCACCAUCACGAGUGGAUCUGGAGCACCCAGCCACGUUCGAGACGAUCGCCAUGGGGCCCGACCAGAAGACAAAGAUUAUAAAGGACUUGGACAGGUUUGUGAGGAGGAGGGAGUUUUAUAAGAAGGUGGGCAAGGCUUGGAAAAGAGGCUACUUAUUGUAUGGCCCUC